GGAUUGUGGCUCAGCGGUAGAGCGCUCCCCUAGCAAGGGCGGGAUCCGAGUUCGAUUCUCAGCACCA
RNAcentral lists this transfer RNA (67 nucleotides) under Marmota monax (woodchuck). RNAcentral's name for it is "tRNA.Ala". The stretch from base 5 to 64 matches the Rfam family "tRNA", at positions 6 to 65 of the family's 71-position model. From Rfam's summary of the family: Transfer RNA (tRNA) molecules are approximately 80 nucleotides in length. Their secondary structure includes four short double-helical elements and three loops (D, anti-codon, and T loops). Further hydrogen bonds mediate the characteristic L-shaped molecular structure. tRNAs have two regions of fundamental functional importance: the anti-codon, which is responsible for specific mRNA codon recognition, and the 3' end, to which the tRNAs corresponding amino acid is attached (by aminoacyl-tRNA synthetases). tRNAs cope with the degeneracy of the genetic code in two manners: having more than one tRNA (with a specific anti-codon) for a particular amino acid; and 'wobble' base-pairing, i.e. permitting non-standard base-pairing at the 3rd anti-codon position. The record is from RNAcentral. Lineage: Eukaryota; Metazoa; Chordata; Mammalia; Rodentia; Sciuridae.